RNAcentral lists this ribosomal RNA (253 nucleotides) under uncultured bacterium. RNAcentral describes it as "partial 16S ribosomal RNA". It matches the Rfam family "Bacterial small subunit ribosomal RNA", at positions 524 to 776 of the family's 1533-position model. The record is from RNAcentral.
UACGGAGGGUGCAAGCGUUGUUCGGAUUUAUUGGGCGUAAAGCGCGUGUAGGCGGUUUCUUAAGUCGGAUGUGAAAGCCCUUGGCUCAACUGAGGAAGUGCAUCCGAAACUGGCAGGCUAGAGUACGUAAGAGGGUCGCGGAAUUCCCGGUGUAGAGGUGAAAUUCGUAGAUAUCGGGAGGAACACCGGUGGCGAAGGCGGCGACCUGGGUCGAGACUGACGCUGAGGCGCGAAAGCGUGGGGAGCAAACAGG